UGCCAGACUCCUACGGGAGGCAGCAGUGGGGAAUAUUGCGCAAUGGGGGGAACCCUGACGCAGCAACGCCGCGUGAGUGAAGAAGGCCUUCGGGUUGUAAAGCUCUUUAAUCAGGGACGAAGAAUGACGGUACCUGAAGAAUAAGCUCCGGCUAACUACGUGCCAGCAGCCGCGGUAAUACGUAGGGGGCAAGCGUUAUCCGGAAUUACUGGGUGUAAAGGGAGCGCAGACGGCAGUGCAAGUCUGGAGUGAAAGCCCGUGGCUUAACCACGGGACUGCUCUGGAAACUGUGCAGCUAGAGUGCAGGAGAGGCAGGCGGAAUUCCUAGUGUAGCGGUGAAAUGCGUAGAUAUUAGGAGGAACACCGGUGGCGAAGGCGGCCUGCUGGACUGUAACUGACGUUGAGGCUCGAAAGCGUGGGGAGCAAACAGGAUUAGAUACCCGUGUAG
RNAcentral lists this ribosomal RNA (448 nucleotides) under uncultured bacterium. Its description in RNAcentral is "partial 16S ribosomal RNA". It matches the Rfam family "Bacterial small subunit ribosomal RNA", at positions 329 to 793 of the family's 1533-position model. The record is from RNAcentral.